GCCUCCUCUCCCUGUGCCCUUCUCUUUUCUUUCCCUCGCCCCUAUUCUCUCCCCCCCUUCCUCCUUUUUCUUUCUUACGUGUUGUCUUGGCAAACCUUGUGUCCAUGGUAAUAGUAGUUUCGCCAUCAUAAAUAUUUGGUGGUUUGAGGCAACAUGUUCAUGUUGAAAAUAUUUUUUUCUAUCACACAUAUUACCAUCUCAUCUCUCUUUAGCUCCAUGACUUGUGGCAAUGGCUUGAUGAUUGGAGAUUUCUCGUGGUCACCAUUAUUUAUAUAAUGGCUAGAUAAUGACCUACUAACACAACCUAUUAGAUCAGCCCAAUUAGAAGAUUCUAAACCUCAACCUAAACCAACCUUAUCCCUCUCUCUCUGUGUUUCUUUUGGUUCACACGUUUGCCUACCGCUACUCAUGGUCACUUUUCUCUCAUAAUUCUCUCUUCAAUCUACCAUUUCUC
RNAcentral lists this long non-coding RNA (454 nucleotides) under Phoenix dactylifera (date palm). Its description in RNAcentral is "long non-coding RNA (PDAC_LNC022739)". The record is from RNAcentral. Lineage: Eukaryota; Viridiplantae; Streptophyta; Magnoliopsida; Arecales; Arecaceae.